ACGGGAGGCAGCAGUGAGGAAUAUUGGUCAAUGGGCGCGAGCCUGAACCAGCCAAGUAGCGUGAGGGAUGACUGCCCUAUGGGUUGUAAACCUCUUUUGUUUGGGAAUAAAGUCAGGGACGCGUCCCUGUUUGUAUGUACCUUUCGAAUAAGCAUCGGCUAAUUCCGUGCCAGCAGCCGCGGUAAUACGGAAGAUGCGAGCGUUAUCCGGAUUUAUUGGGUUUAAAGGGAGCGUAGGCGGACUGUUAGGUCUGUGGUCAAAUGUCAGGGCCCAACCUUGGCAUGCCAUGGAAACCGGCGGUCUUGAAUACACGCAAGGCAGAUGGAAUUCGUCGUGUAGCGGUGAAAUGCUUAGAUAUGUCACAGAACACCGAUUGCGAAGGCAGCUGACUAAUCCGCAACUGACGCUCAGGCACGAAAGCGUGGGGAUCGAACAGGAUUAGAUACCCUGGUA
RNAcentral lists this ribosomal RNA (453 nucleotides) under uncultured Paraprevotella sp. RNAcentral describes it as "partial 16S ribosomal RNA". It matches the Rfam family "Bacterial small subunit ribosomal RNA", at positions 341 to 792 of the family's 1533-position model. The record is from RNAcentral. Lineage: Bacteria; Pseudomonadati; Bacteroidota; Bacteroidia; Bacteroidales; Prevotellaceae.